This 262-nucleotide ribosomal RNA is filed under the name uncultured bacterium. Its description in RNAcentral is "partial 16S ribosomal RNA". It matches the Rfam family "Bacterial small subunit ribosomal RNA", at positions 28 to 288 of the family's 1533-position model. The record is from RNAcentral.
GACGAACGCUGGCGGCGUGCCUAACACAUGCAAGUCGAACGGGACCGGGGGCAACUCCGGUUCAGUGGCGGGACGGGUGCGUAACACGUGAGGAACAUGACAUUCGGCGGGGGAGUAGCCGGCCCAACGGCCGGGUAAUACCGCGUACGACCUUUCGGGGACGAUCCCCGGCUGGUGAAAGCAGCAAUGCGCCGAAUGAGUGCCUCGCGGCCUAUCAGCUAGUUGGUGGGGUAACGGCCCACCAAGGCGACGACGGGUAGCU